This 187-nucleotide ribosomal RNA is filed under the name Extubocellulus spinifer. RNAcentral's name for it is "partial Microsporidia small subunit ribosomal RNA". The record is from RNAcentral. Lineage: Eukaryota; Bacillariophyta; Thalassiosirophyceae; Cymatosirales; Cymatosiraceae.
CGCGACGUGGAAGGGCGAAGAUGAUGGCGGAGGUACGUCCCAAGGACCGCGAUGAGCGGCAUUAGAAUCAGCAUUGGCAAUAUCAGCAUCAGCAGAAGCAGCAGCUGAGCUCGACAUUGGCGGACGUGAACUGCUCACAGUCGUUGAAGUGAGCUCCAUGGUCAGACUACUACUGGUGCGAUGCCGA